CCCAGGCCCCGGAGGGCACGAGCCUUCUAACUCCGUCAGGGCCCCGAAGGCAGCAGCGGCAUGAGGUGUCUUGCGUCGCUUCGUCAGGUCUGGGACA
Molecule: signal recognition particle RNA, 97 nt
Filed under: Gemmatimonadota bacterium
Lineage: Bacteria; Pseudomonadati; Gemmatimonadota
Description: signal recognition particle sRNA small type
Rfam family: Bacterial small signal recognition particle RNA
About the family: The signal recognition particle (SRP) is a universally conserved ribonucleoprotein involved in the co-translational targeting of proteins to membranes.
Source: RNAcentral